AGCGGCAGGCUUAAUACAUGCAAGUCGAGGGGCAGCACGAAUAGCAAUAUUUGGUGGCGACCGGCAAACGGGUGCGGAACACGUACGCAACCUUCCUUUAAGUGGAGAAUAGCCCGGGGAAACCCGGAUUAAUACUCCGUAACAUUUUGAAGUGGCAUCACUUUAUAAUUAUAGAUUUAUCGCUUAAAGAUGGGCGUGCGCCUGAUUAGGUAGUUGGCGGGGUAACGGCCCACCAAGCCUGCGAUCAGUAACUGGUGUGAGAGCACGACCAGUCACACGGGCACUGAGACACGGGCCCGACUCCUACGGGAGGCAGCAGUAAGGAAUAUUGGUCAAUGGACGCAAGUCUGAACCAGCCAUGCCGCGUGGAGGAUGAAGGUCCUCUGGAUUGUAAACUUCUUUUAUUUGGGAAGAAAUGUGAAAAUUCUUUUUCACUUGACGGUACCAGAUGAAUAAGCACCGGCUAACUCCGUGCCAGCAGCCGCGGUAAUACGGAGGGUGCAAGCGUUAUCCGGAUUUACUGGGUUUAAAGGGUGC
Molecule: ribosomal RNA, 537 nt
Filed under: uncultured bacterium
Lineage: Bacteria
Description: bacterial SSU rRNA
Rfam family: Bacterial small subunit ribosomal RNA
Source: RNAcentral